Long non-coding RNA from Gallus gallus (chicken), 488 nucleotides. Lineage: Eukaryota; Metazoa; Chordata; Aves; Galliformes; Phasianidae. The record is from Ensembl.
CUGUUUGCAAUGGCUUUGGUCCCCUCUCUUGUGACACCGGGCAGGUCCUGCUUGUGCUGGGGGACCUCCAGAGCCGCUUCUGAAAAAGCAAGAACAUCCCCCCGAACGAUGAUGGCAGCCUUCCCACAGCCACUCGGUGCAGGCAGCCACCUCUGGGGGUCACCUCUGCGGAGCACAGUCUCACCGUCAAUCCAGUUCCAAGCAGGUGGACUCUCAGUGUCUUGCAAGUGACAGCUAGCAGCAGCAGGUCCAGCCAGGAGGCACAGCACCCUGCAACCUCCAGGGGCCUUUGUGCAACAGCAGAUGUUGAUGCCCUAGAAGCACGGUGCGGAGCACAUCCUGGGAUCAAGGUGCCACGGACUGGAAAAUGCUGCUGUGGCGGAGUUCCUGUGUGAAGACAAAACUCCCAGUCCCCCAGAAAAGUGGAGGCAGAAGAGCAGUGACAAGGCAUUGUGUUUAACUUAAAAAACUUAAAAAAUGAACGGACG